GUUAGCAAAUCUAAGAAUUCCUGAGAGACGCACUGUUGAGUUACCCUGAAGUACAGAUGACUGAUGGCUAAGGAUGCCGUCAGAGACUGAUAGGAAAAGCCCCACGCAUUUUGCAGCGAGGCCUGGGGGUGUGGCUGGGAGAGGGAGUGAGGAACCAGGCAUAAGGAAACAGUAUCAGAAGAGAGAACCUAGCCACCUAAUGUAGAGCGGCAGCGUGUGACUUUGCCUUUCUAUGUCCUUAAAGUCAAUUAUUUAAUCAUACAGUUUGGAAUGAUUAUCUCUAUAUGAAUUAUGACAUUUCUUCACUCACAUAUUCAUACACUCGCAAGUUCUACUAAACCUUCUAUAUCCACAGGAGUAUGGUAGAUCAUCCAGAAGAUACUGCAAUGAGUAAAAGAAUUUCUGCUUCAAUGAUCCUGUUGCCUAAAACCAGGCAGAACAGAGAAAUUAGACAAAUAAGUGUAAUGCAGGCUACUAAGCGAGAGGAGUAUCCCUGGCCUUAUGGAUUUCAGAGGAGGGAGCUUUCAAGCUACGCCGUGAAGUGGGAACUGGUUUGGGUACUUGAAGACAGAGAGGGGGCAUUCUAGGAAGAGGAACGGGGGGCCUCAGAGUUGUGAAGGUGUCCUGGCUUCCAGACUUGGAUCCAAUGGUACAGUAGCUCUGUUCUCAGUGAGUCUACUCAAGAGGUUUGAGAAAACUUGCCACCCUGCCUCUUUCUCCUCUUUUCCUUCUCCAGGAGGAGCCUGGAUGGACUGAGGGCAGCUCGCUAGGCCAGGGGCACAAGAGACCAAGACUGCCGCCCCUGCUCUCCUCGCUCUUGGGAGGGGUACCUUCAGUACAGGUGUUUUCACUUCAGAGACUCACUGGCCACAAUACACUCAGCACUUGGAAGGUAACAAAUUUGCUAUGUCACAAUUGAUAAUCAACUCUAGUAAAAGAAUGUCCAAAUCAAUUGAGCUUUAGCAAGGGCAAACUGGCUGGACGCAGGCAGGCUCCCAGCUCGAGCUGGCUGGGCUUGAUAAAUUUGCCCUUAUUAUGGCUAUUGAUGUUUAAAUUUCUUCAGGGAUGUUGUUACAUGGGUGCCUGGUGGUGACAGAGGUACGGUGACCUCCUUCGAUCCUUAAUCUACACCUGUUAGUUGGCUCCCUGGUUGCCUCUGAGUAGACUCAGGCUUAAAGGUUAACAAAAGAAAAACAGGCCAAGUUUACGCGACUGCAGCAGCGGAUCAAUGCAAGUAAAUAACCUUCUCUGUCUUAUUUCCCCAAGCAUUAUUGAUCCAAGUUCUUUGUUCUUUGUCAUGUUUCUGUCUUCUUUUCCCAGGGGACACUCAACGAUCAGCUCGUAUUGGACAUGUUAACUGGCACGUUAUGACAGCUACCAUUUUGUCUCACAAUGUGGUGAGAAAUCAGGAGAAUUCUAUGACCUUCUAUCACAUUAACGAGGUCAUUUAUUUGUUUUAAGUACUUAUCCAAAUGGACAAUGGCAGCUGAAAGAAAUGACAAAGCUUCUGAGGCUUGGGGCAUAUUCCAGGGCAAUUUCUAAAGGCUGUUGUCAUUUGUGUUAGUUUUCUCGGGGACACUGCAUGAUGUCAGAGUGUUUGCUCUGGUCACUCUGAACUCCUUCGUCUCUGCAGAUGGGUUCUGAAGUCCCAGUGAAAUCUGUAUGCAAAUUGACAAGUUCUAAUUUUGAACAUGUCUAGCUUUUUCACAAAUUCAUUGUAUUCUGUCCAUAUGCAUAGGAUGCAUUCAUGUUAACUACAAAAUUGAACUCUGCACAAUUCUAAAAUAAAAUAAUGGUCUGCAAAGGCAAGGAAGCUUGUUUUGCUAAAUCUCAUUAUAGUUUAAGGCAGAUUUUGUCUAGAAAGAAAGAAAGGAGUAACUUCGUCUUUGAGUUAAUAAAGCUCAGGGGAUAAUAAAAUCAUGACAUCAAAUUGAUGUGUGGAUCUUCUUAAUUGGGAUAUGGUUCAAUUCUGAAAAAAAAAAUAAACUUCUUGACACAAAUCUAGGAUAAUAUGAGGUAUUUUUAUGCCUGAUGUUCUUGGAGGAAAACUACUACUUUUAUGUGAAAAACUAAU
Molecule: non-coding RNA, 2074 nt
Organism: Oryctolagus cuniculus (rabbit)
Lineage: Eukaryota; Metazoa; Chordata; Mammalia; Lagomorpha; Leporidae
Source: RefSeq, a predicted model, not a curated record